This 1352-nucleotide ribosomal RNA is filed under the name uncultured bacterium. RNAcentral describes it as "bacterial SSU rRNA". It matches the Rfam family "Bacterial small subunit ribosomal RNA", at positions 28 to 1381 of the family's 1533-position model. The record is from RNAcentral.
AUUGAACGCUUUUGGCAUGCCUUACACAUGCAAGUCGAACGGUAACGGGUCCUUCGGGAUGCCGACGAGUGGCGAACGGGUGAGUAAUAUAUCGGAACGUGCCCAGUAGUGGGGGAUAACUGCUCGAAAGAGCAGCUAAUACCGCAUACGACCUGAGGGUGAAAGGGGGGGAUCGCAAGACCUCUCGCUAUUGGAGCGGCCGAUAUCAGAUUAGCUAGUUGGUGGGGUAAAGGCCUACCAAGGCAACGAUCUGUAGUUGGUCUGAGAGGACGACCAGCCACACUGGGACUGAGACACGGCCCAGACUCCUACGGGAGGCAGCAGUGGGGAAUUUUGGACAAUGGGCGCAAGCCUGAUCCAGCAAUGCCGCGUGCAGGAAGAAGGCCUUCGGGUUGUAAACUGCUUUUGUCAGGGAAGAAAUCUUCUGGGCUAAUACCCCGGGAGGAUGACGGUACCUGAAGAAUAAGCACCGGCUAACUACGUGCCAGCAGCCGCGGUAAUACGUAGGGUGCGAGCGUUAAUCGGAAUUACUGGGCGUAAAGCGUGCGCAGGCGGCUUUGCAAGACAGAUGUGAAAUCCCCGGGCUCAACCUGGGAACUGCAUUUGUGACUGCAAGGCUAGAGUACGGCAGAGGGGGAUGGAAUUCCGCGUGUAGCAGUGAAAUGCGUAGAUAUGCGGAGGAACACCAAUGGCGAAGGCAAUCCCCUGGGCCUGUACUGACGCUCAUGCACGAAAGCGUGGGGAGCAAACAGGAUUGGAUACCCUGGUAGUCCACGCCCUAAACGAUGUCAACUGGUUGUUGGACGGCUUGCUGUUCAGUAACGAAGCUAACGCGUGAAGUUGACCGCCUGGGGAGUACGGCCGCAAGGUUGAAACUCAAAGGAAUUGACAGGGACCCGCACAAGCGGUGGAUGAUGUGGUUUAAUUCGAUGCAACGCGAAAAACCCUACCUACCCUUGACAUGUCAAGAAUUCUGCAGAGAUGUGGAAGUGCUCGAAAGAGAACUUGAACACAGGUGCUGCAUGGCCGUCGUCAGCUCGUGUCGUGAGAUGUUGGGUUAAGUCCCGCAACGAGCGCAACCCUUGUCAUUAGUUGCUACGCAAGAGCACUCUAAUGAGACUGCCGGUGACAAACCGGAGGAAGGUGGGGAUGACGUCAGGUCCUCAUGGCCCUUAUGGGUAGGGCUACACACGUCAUACAAUGGCCGGUACAGAGGGCUGCCAACCCGCGAGGGGGAGCCAAUCCCAGAAAACCGAUCGUAGUCCGGAUCGUAGUCUGCAACUCGACUGCGUGAAGUCGGAAUCGCUAGUAAUCGCGGAUCAGCUUGCCGCGGCGAAUACGUUCCCGGGUCU